ACUGCUCAGCUCAGUCCUCUAGGUGGUGGGGGCGCAAGAUAGUGCGUGGAGACCCCUGUCACAGACUGGCUCCGGAAAGGGGGGGAGGGAGGAAGAGAAGUGGAAAUGCGGUCACUCCAUUCGGCAGUUUAAAUGUUGGCAGAGGCAUAAGGGGUGGCAGUGCCUCCCCAAGCCAGGUCACAUCAGUGUGUACGCAGGAGCUGCUGGGGGUGGCAAGAGGCACGUGGCAAGGCAGAGGCAGAGCUGGGCAGCGAGACAGCGAGGCUGUGGCGGAGCCAGGCAGCAACGCCAGGAUGAGAAAGGAACUGAUUAGCUGGCUUUCUAAACUGUCCGGGGGAUCUCAGAGACUGGGACAGGUCUAUGGACUCAUCUUUGAGAAACACUGAUCUAAGGAUCAUGGCUAAAAGUCUGGGAACUGACAAGAACAAAGGAACUCUAGCUCUAAGCAACUCUCAUCUCGUGGAAGGAGGAACUUGUUGAGGAACUGUAUAGAGAAAUGAGACUUACAUGGGAACUCAUUGAGGCUAGAUGAAAUAUGUCUUACCAUCAAUGUGUGUGGUCUAUUUGCUGUUUGUAAAAUACUUAUCUCUGACUUGUGCUUUGUGUCUACUGUCAGAAUAAACAUUACUCUGGUUUUACAAAACCUAUCCAGUCAUUAUGCAGAUACCAGUGGCUACAGACUCCCCAAGGAAAUAAUUCCAGGUGCCUAACCAGGUCAGACCUGCUGGGUAAGCAGGGUUGACACACA
Long non-coding RNA from Pelodiscus sinensis (Chinese soft-shelled turtle), 748 nucleotides. RefSeq lists it as uncharacterized. Lineage: Eukaryota; Metazoa; Chordata; Testudines; Trionychidae. The record is from RefSeq and is a predicted model, not a curated record.